RNAcentral lists this ribosomal RNA (320 nucleotides) under uncultured Chytridiomycota. Its description in RNAcentral is "partial large subunit ribosomal RNA". It matches the Rfam family "Eukaryotic large subunit ribosomal RNA", at positions 40 to 358 of the family's 3401-position model. Lineage: Eukaryota; Fungi; Chytridiomycota. The record is from RNAcentral.
AUAUCAAUAAGCGGAGGAAAAGAAACUAACAAGGAUUCCCUCAGUAACGGCGAGUGAAGCGGGAAGAGCUCAAAUUUUAAAUCUCACUGGUUUCCAGUGCGAAUUGUAGUUUAAAGCAGUAUUUUCGGAGACAAACCAGGCUCAAGUCCGUUGGGAUACGGCAUCACAGAGGGUGAGAAUCCCGUUGUGGCCUGGCUUUGGCUCUAUGUGAUAUACUUGCAAAGAGUCGGAUUGUUUGGGAAUGCAGUCCAAAAUGGGUGGUAAAUACCAUCUAAAGCUAAAUAUUGGCGAGAGACCGAUAGCGAACAAGUACCGUGAGG